Molecule: ribosomal RNA, 249 nt
Filed under: uncultured organism
Description: partial 16S ribosomal RNA
Rfam family: Bacterial small subunit ribosomal RNA
Source: RNAcentral
UGGGGAAUAUUGCACAAUGGGCGAAAGCCUGAUGCAGCGACGCCGCGUGGAGGACGAAGGUCUUCGGAUUGUAAACUCCUGUCAUGAGGGAACAAGAAAGGGAUAGUACUGCAAGAGGAAGAGACGGCUAACUCUGUGCCAGCAGCCGCGGUAAUACAGAGGUCGCAAGCGUUGUUCGGAUUCAUUGGGCGUAAAGCGUACGUAGGCGGCUUAUCAAGUCUGGGGUUAACGACCACGGCUUAACUGUGG